RNAcentral lists this transfer-messenger RNA (354 nucleotides) under Dehalococcoidales bacterium. It matches the Rfam family "transfer-messenger RNA". Rfam says of the family: Bacterial tmRNA, also known as 10Sa RNA or SsrA, is named for its dual tRNA and mRNA-like properties. Its role is to liberate the mRNA from a stalled ribosome. The record is from RNAcentral. Lineage: Bacteria; Bacillati; Chloroflexota; Dehalococcoidia; Dehalococcoidales.
GGGGACGCGUGGUUCGACAGAGGAGGUUGGCUACAGAGUUGCAAGCUGAGGUGCCAUCACCCUCGUAAAACUGGUGGCAAAACACAAAUGCUGAAGAACCAGUAUUAGUUGCCGCUUAAUUAAAUAAGCGACACGUCCACCCCACCCCCUCCCCGACGGGAUGGAAGUGGGCGAAGAAAAGUUGGGGUGCUACCGUUCUGACGCCGGUAUGAGCGGUUUAAGAAAAACCCGGCUUACCUGACGGAACUCGGUCGGCAGAGGUCUGUCAGGCGAGACAAAGAGCCGACUAAGCUUGUAGUAGAUUCUGAGCGGUCUCUUCUGGACGGGGAGUUCAACUCUCCCCCGUCUCCACCA